UACGUAGGGGGCAAGCGUUGUCCGGAAUUAUUGGGCGUAAAGCGCGCGUAGGCGGCCCGGUAAGUCCGAUGUGAAAGUCAAAGGCUCAACCUUUGAAUGUCAGUGGAUACUGCCUGGCUAGAGUCCGGAAGAGGCGAGUGGAACUCCUGGUGUAGCGGUGGAAUGCGCAGAUAUCAGGAAGAACACCGACGGCGAAGGCAGCGCGCUGGGACGGUACUGACGCUGAGGCGCGAAAGCGUGGGGAGCGAACAGG
This 253-nucleotide ribosomal RNA is filed under the name uncultured bacterium. RNAcentral's name for it is "partial 16S ribosomal RNA". It matches the Rfam family "Bacterial small subunit ribosomal RNA", at positions 524 to 776 of the family's 1533-position model. The record is from RNAcentral.